Molecule: ribosomal RNA, 200 nt
Filed under: uncultured organism
Description: partial small subunit ribosomal RNA
Rfam family: Bacterial small subunit ribosomal RNA
Source: RNAcentral
GUCAAAUCAUCAUGCCCCUUAUGACCUGGGCUACACACGUGCUACAAUGGACGGUACAAACGGUUGCCAACCCGCGAGGGGGAGCUAAUCCGAUAAAACCGUUCUCAGUUCGGAUCGGGGUCUGCAACUCGACCCCGUGAAGUCGGAGUCGCUAGUAAUCGCAGAUCAGCAACGCUGCGGUGAAUACGUUCCCGGGCCUU